GCGGCAGCGACACUCAGGUGUUGUUGGGUAGGGGAGCGUUCUGUAAGCCUGCGAAGGUGGCCUGUGAGGGUUGCUGGAGGUAUCAGAAGUGCGAAUGCUGACAUAAGUAACGAUAAAGCGGGUGAAAAGCCCGCUCGCCGGAAGACCAAGGGUUCCUGUCCAACGUUAAUCGGGGCAGGGUGAGUCGACCCCUAAGGCGAGGCCGAAAGGCGUAGUCGAUGGGAAACGGGUUAAUAUUCCCGUACUUGGUGUUACUGCGAAGGGGGGACGGAGAAGGCUAUGUUGGCCGGGCGACGGUUGUCCCGGUUUAAGCGUGUAGGUGUGUGUUCCAGGUAAAUCCGGUU
RNAcentral lists this ribosomal RNA (344 nucleotides) under Salmonella enterica subsp. enterica serovar Agona. RNAcentral describes it as "partial 23S ribosomal RNA". It matches the Rfam family "Bacterial large subunit ribosomal RNA", at positions 1202 to 1547 of the family's 2925-position model. The record is from RNAcentral. Lineage: Bacteria; Pseudomonadati; Pseudomonadota; Gammaproteobacteria; Enterobacterales; Enterobacteriaceae.